GGGGAUUAGCUCAGCUGGCUAGAGCGCCUGCCUUGCACGCAGGAGGUCAUCGGUUCGACUCCGAUAUUCUC
Molecule: transfer RNA, 71 nt
Filed under: Flavobacteriaceae bacterium
Lineage: Bacteria; Pseudomonadati; Bacteroidota; Flavobacteriia; Flavobacteriales; Flavobacteriaceae
Description: tRNA-Ala
Rfam family: tRNA
About the family: Transfer RNA (tRNA) molecules are approximately 80 nucleotides in length. Their secondary structure includes four short double-helical elements and three loops (D, anti-codon, and T loops). Further hydrogen bonds mediate the characteristic L-shaped molecular structure. tRNAs have two regions of fundamental functional importance: the anti-codon, which is responsible for specific mRNA codon recognition, and the 3' end, to which the tRNAs corresponding amino acid is attached (by aminoacyl-tRNA synthetases). tRNAs cope with the degeneracy of the genetic code in two manners: having more than one tRNA (with a specific anti-codon) for a particular amino acid; and 'wobble' base-pairing, i.e. permitting non-standard base-pairing at the 3rd anti-codon position.
Source: RNAcentral